This 525-nucleotide ribosomal RNA is filed under the name uncultured bacterium. Its description in RNAcentral is "bacterial SSU rRNA". It matches the Rfam family "Bacterial small subunit ribosomal RNA", at positions 355 to 896 of the family's 1533-position model. The record is from RNAcentral.
UGGGGAAUAUUGGACAAUGGGGGAAACCCUGAUCCAGCGACGCCGCGUGAGUGAAGAAGUAUUUCGGUAUGUAAAGCUCUAUCAGCAGGGAAGAAAAUGACGGUACCUGACUAAGAAGCCCCGGCUAACUACGUGCCAACAGCCGCGGUAAUACGUAGGGGGCAAGCGUUAUCCGGAUUUACUGGGUGUAAAGGGAGCGCAGACGGCAAUGCAAGUCUGAAGUGAAAGGCGUGGGCUCAACCCAUGAACUGCUUUGGAAACUGUAUAGCUUGAGUGUCGGAGGGGUAAGCGGAAUUCCUAGUGUAGCGGUGAAAUGCGUAGAUAUUAGGAGGAACACCGGAGGCGAAGGCGGCUUACUGGACGACAACUGACGUUGAGGCUCGAAGGCGUGGGGAGCAAACAGGAUUAGAUACCCUGGUAGUCCACGCAGUAAACGAUGAAUACUUGGUGUCGGGGAGGUAAACUCUUCGGUGCCGCAAGCUAACGCAUUAAGUAUUCCACCUGGGGAGUACGUUCGCAAGAAUG